GUACCUUUGCCUGUAUACGACGCUGUCGCUUGGUAUCAACUGGGUCGUUCCCAACAUAAGGCUUAGGUUGCUGCCUUUUAUCUCCCGGCUUUGAAAAUUUAUUAUGAGGUUUCUUCAGAACCUUAACGGGAACACCAGUUGAUGAUUUCAGUUUCUUGGGAGUUGAUUUCCCUCCGGCGGCUGCCGGAGCAUGCUUUCGCUUUUUGGAGUCGUCUCUUUUUAGGGGUUUAGCUGCCAUUGCUGUUUUACUCUGAGAUUCAGCUUCGCUAUGUUCUGUGAGUUGGGUUUUGCAAGGGUUUUAGUUUGUGGGUUGGGCUUUGCAGGAUGAAAGGAGGCUUAGGCUGUUGCUUUAUAUCUCCCGGCUUUAAAAAUUUAUUAUGGGGUUUCUUCAGAAUCUUAGCCGGAACACCAGUUGAUGAUUUCAGUUUCUUGGGAGUUGACUUCCCUCCGGCGGCUGCCGGAGCAUGCUUUCGCUUUUUGGAGUCGUCUCUUUUUUGGGGUUUAGCUGCCAUUGCAGUUUUACUCUG
RNAcentral lists this long non-coding RNA (527 nucleotides) under Nicotiana benthamiana. Its description in RNAcentral is "long non-coding RNA (NBEN_LNC014876)". Lineage: Eukaryota; Viridiplantae; Streptophyta; Magnoliopsida; Solanales; Solanaceae. The record is from RNAcentral.